RNAcentral lists this ribosomal RNA (400 nucleotides) under phytoplankton environmental sample. RNAcentral's name for it is "partial small subunit ribosomal RNA". It matches the Rfam family "Eukaryotic small subunit ribosomal RNA", at positions 587 to 990 of the family's 1831-position model. The record is from RNAcentral.
AGCUCCAAUAGCGUAUAUUAAAGUUGUUGCGGUUAAAAAGCUCGUAGUUGGAUUUCUGUCGGUGAGUGGGAGUCCGCCCUCAGUGGUGGGUACUUUUCACGCCACCGGCAUCUUCCUGGGGACUGUGUCUGCUCUUUGUUGAGUGGCGCAUAAUCCAGGACUUUUACUUUGAAGAAAUAGGAGUGUUUCAAGCAGGCAAUCGCCAUGAACACGUUAGCAUGGAAUAAUAGCAUCGGACCUCGUUCCAAAGCUGUUGGUUUCUUGGGACGAGGUAAAGGUGAAUAGGGAUUGUUGGGGGCAUUCGUAUUUAACUGUCAGAGGUGAAAUUCUUGGAUUUGUUGAAGACGGACUACUGCGAAAGCAUCUGCCAAAGAUGUUCUCAUUGAUCAAGAACGAAAGU